GACGAACGCUGGCGGCGUGCUUAACACAUGCAAGUCGAACGGGAUAAUUUGAGAGCUUGCUCUUAGAGAAUCUAGUGGCAAACGGGUGAGUAACACGUAGACAACCUGCCGACAGGAUGGGGACAACAUUCCGAAAGGAAUGCUAAUACCGAAUGAAGCGGAGGAGAGGCAUCUCUCCUCCGUGAAAGAUGGCCUCUGAAUAUGCUAUCACCUGUCGAUGGGUCUGCGUCUGAUUAGCUAGUUGGUGAGGUAACGGCUCACCAAGGCGACGAUCAGUAGCCGGUCUGAGAGGAUGAACGGCCACAUUGGGACUGAGACACGGCCCAGACUCCUACGGGAGGCAGCAGUGGGGAAGCUUCCGCAAUGGGCGCAAGCCUGACGGAGCAACGCCGCGUGAGUGAAGAAGGUCUUCGGAUCGUAAAGCUCUGUUGACGGGGACGAACGUGCGAAGGGUGAAUAAUCCUUUGUAAUGACGGUACCUGUCGAGGAAGCCACGGCUAACUACGUG
Molecule: ribosomal RNA, 508 nt
Filed under: uncultured bacterium
Lineage: Bacteria
Description: partial 16S ribosomal RNA
Rfam family: Bacterial small subunit ribosomal RNA
Source: RNAcentral